AUUAAACGCUGGCGGCACGCCUUACACAUGCAAGUCGAACGGCAGCACGGGGGCGAACCCUGGUGGGCGAGUGGCGGACGGGUGAGUAAAGCAUCGGAACGUAUCCUGGAGUGGGGGAGUAACGUAGCGAAAGUUACGCUAAUACCGCAUAUUCUGUGAGCAGGAAAGCAGGGGAUCGCAAGACCUUGCGCUCUGGGAGCGCCGAUGUCGGAUUAGCUAGUUGGUGGGGGUAAAGGCCUACCAAGGCGACGAUCCGUAGCGGGUCGUGAGAGGAUGAUCCGCCACACUGGGACUGAGACACGGCCCAGACUCCUACGGGAGGCAGCAGUGGGGAAUUUUGGACAAUGGGCGCAAGCCUGAUCCAGCCAUGCCGCGUGAGUGAAGAAGGCCUUGGUU
Molecule: ribosomal RNA, 396 nt
Filed under: uncultured bacterium
Lineage: Bacteria
Description: bacterial SSU rRNA
Rfam family: Bacterial small subunit ribosomal RNA
Source: RNAcentral